RNAcentral lists this ribosomal RNA (497 nucleotides) under uncultured bacterium. RNAcentral describes it as "partial 16S ribosomal RNA". It matches the Rfam family "Bacterial small subunit ribosomal RNA", at positions 28 to 507 of the family's 1533-position model. The record is from RNAcentral.
GAUGAACGCUGGCGGCGUGCCUAAUACAUGCAAGUCGAGCGAACGGACGAGAAGCUUGCUUCUCUGAUGUUAGCGGCGGACGGGUGAGUAACACGUGGAUAACCUACCUAUAAGACUGGGAUAACUUCGGGAAACCGGAGCUAAUACCGGAUAAUAUUUUGAACCGCAUGGUUCAAAAGUAAAAGACGGUCUUGCUGUCACUUAUAGAUGGAUCCGCGCUGCAUUAGCUAGUUGGUAAGGUAACGGCUUACCAAGGCAACGAUGCAUAGCCGACCUGAGAGGGUGAUCGGCCACACUGGAACUAAGACACGGUCCAGACUCCUACGGGAGGCAGCAGUAGGGAAGCUUCCGCAAUGGGCGAAAGCCUGACGGAGCAACGCCGCGUGAGUGAUGAAGGUCUUCGGAUCGUAAAACUCUGUUAUUAGGGAAGAACAUAUGUGUAAGUAACUGUGCACAUCUUGACGGUACCUAAUCAGAAAGCCACGGAUAACUACGUG